GAUGAACGCUAGCUACAGGCUUAACACAUGCAAGUCGAGGGGUAACGAGAGGAAAGCUUGCUUUCCUUGUCGACGACCGGCGCACGGGUGAGUAACGCGUAUCCAACCUGCCCCCAACUAAGGAAUAACCUUGCGAAAGUAAGACUAAUACCUUAUAAUUUCCUCAGAUGUCAUCUGGCGAGGAAUAAAGAUUUAUCGGUUGUGGAUGGGGAUGCGUCUGAUUAGCUUGUUGGCGGGGUAACGGCCCACCAAGGCAACGAUCAGUAGGGGUUCUGAGAGGAAGGUCCCCCACAUUGGAACUGAGACACGGUCCAAACUCCUACGGGAGGCAGCAGUGAGGAAUAUUGGUCAAUGGGCGGAAGCCUGAACCAGCCAAGUAGCGUGCAGGAUGACGGCCCUAUGGGUUGUAAACUGCUUUUAUACAGGGAUAAAGUUAGCCACGUGUGGUUAUUUGUAGGUACUGUAUGAAUAAGGACCGGCUAAUUCCGUGCCAGCCGCCGCCGCUG
RNAcentral lists this ribosomal RNA (506 nucleotides) under uncultured bacterium. RNAcentral's name for it is "partial 16S ribosomal RNA". It matches the Rfam family "Bacterial small subunit ribosomal RNA", at positions 28 to 523 of the family's 1533-position model. The record is from RNAcentral.